Molecule: transfer RNA, 105 nt
Filed under: Candidatus Bathyarchaeota archaeon
Lineage: Archaea; Thermoproteati; Candidatus Bathyarchaeota
Also listed under: 2 other names
Description: tRNA-Leu
Rfam family: tRNA
About the family: Transfer RNA (tRNA) molecules are approximately 80 nucleotides in length. Their secondary structure includes four short double-helical elements and three loops (D, anti-codon, and T loops).
Source: RNAcentral
GGCGGGGUAUCCGAGCCAGGUCUAAAUUUGCCCCUAAGAUAUGGAGGAGGACUUAAGAUCCUCUGGCGCAGGCCUUCGUGGGUUCAAGUCCCACCCCCGCCACCA